This 472-nucleotide ribosomal RNA is filed under the name uncultured bacterium. RNAcentral's name for it is "bacterial SSU rRNA". It matches the Rfam family "Bacterial small subunit ribosomal RNA", at positions 335 to 799 of the family's 1533-position model. The record is from RNAcentral.
ACUCCUACGGGAGGCAGCAGUGGGGAAUAUUGCACAAUGGGCGCAAGCCUGAUGCAGCCAUGCCGCGUGUAUGAAGAAGGCCUUCGGGUUGUAAAGUACUUUCAGCAGUGAGGAAGGUGGGUAUGUUAAUAGCAUACUCAUUUGACGUUAGCUGCAGAAGAAGCACCGGCUAACUCCGUGCCAGCAGCCGCGGUAAUACGGAGGGUGCGAGCGUUAAUCGGAAUUACUGGGCGUAAAGCGCAUGCAGGUGGUUUGUUAAGUCAGAUGUGAAAGCCCGGGGCUCAACCUCGGAAUUGCAUUUGAAACUGGCAAACUAGAGUACUGUAGAGGGGGGUAGAAUUUCAGGUGUAGCGGUGAAAUGCGUAGAGAUCUGAAGGAAUACCGGUGGCGAAGGCGGCCCCCUGGACAGAUACUGACACUCAGAUGCGAAAGCGUGGGGAGCAAACAGGAUUAGAUACCCUGGUAGGACUCU